AAAUCGAAAACUCUCCACCGUUCACCUCUUUCACUCAAGCCUCUCGCCUCAGCCUCGAUCCUCAGCAUCUCUUCCUCCAUCGUCGUCGUUGAAGGCUUGUAGAUUGAUUUUACAUACUACUUGAUUAAUUUAGUUGAAUUGUUGAAUUAAUAACAAUAGUUCCAGUAUACAUCUCUCUCUCUCCACGCACAUCUCUUUCAGUUUAAUCGAUUGAAGAAGCUCACAUAAUCCUUUUCUUCUUUUCAUUAUUUUUGCAGUUUCGAGUUCGAUCAUGUCGAAGGACAAAGACUUUACCGAUUUGUCGCUCACCUUCAAAUUCCUCUUAGGCAUCUUAUGGCUCUAUGUUUUCCUCUGAAGAUUAUCAAAGAAGUGUUACUAAUGGUGAGCUUCAAAAAAAGAUGAAUGAUGAAAAAAAGA
Molecule: non-coding RNA, 417 nt
Organism: Arachis ipaensis
Lineage: Eukaryota; Viridiplantae; Streptophyta; Magnoliopsida; Fabales; Fabaceae
Source: RefSeq, a predicted model, not a curated record